Molecule: small RNA, 116 nt
Filed under: Marmota monax (woodchuck)
Lineage: Eukaryota; Metazoa; Chordata; Mammalia; Rodentia; Sciuridae
Source: RNAcentral
GCCAGGCGUGGUGGUGCACACCUGUAAUCCCAGUGGCUCAGGAGGCUGAGGCAGGAGGAUCAAAGCCAGCCUCAGCAAAAUCGAGCACUAAGCAACUCAGCGAGACCCUGUCUCUA